Molecule: non-coding RNA, 1257 nt
Organism: Podarcis muralis (Common wall lizard)
Lineage: Eukaryota; Metazoa; Chordata; Lepidosauria; Squamata; Lacertidae
Source: RefSeq, a predicted model, not a curated record
AAGAAGGAGGGAGGGGAAAAGCGCGGGAAGCCGCCGCUCUGAGGCGAUUUACCUCACAGGCGCUCUCCCGCCCCACAGCAAUGGGGGCUUGCGGGGAGACCCUCGCAGGGCUGUGUGGUCCUCAACGAGGGGUUUCAGUCAGGCUGCCUGGCUGGGGAACUUUUUCUUUUCCCUUUUUUCUUCAUUUUAUAUUUUUAUUGUGGUCUCUGGGGCCAAUGAUGGGGUCUGGGGAAUGCAACCCCUUUUUCUUUUUCUUUCUUAAAGAUUUUCUUGAUUUACAAAAUCUUGAUCUUGCCGACUUAACGUAACUGACCCGCCUUCGUUUCGUCUCCUUUGCAAACCGCCCUUCGCCCGAGGAUCCCAGGGCGGUUAACAGGAGAAAGGCUCAGUGUGCAGGCCCUUUUCCUCCCCUACGACAACGCUGGCUGAGAACUGGCCGCAGAAGCCGUCUUGCAGGUGGAUCGUGUGAAGAAAUGCAGUGUGUGAGCUGUUGACUGCACAAUACAUUUUGCUGCAGUCCUCCAGAUAGAUUGGAAAUUGCGCCCUGGAAUUUGAAGGCAAGGUUGGGAAUUCAGGCAACUUGCGUCAUGAGCUGUUAAGGAGCUGUAAGCUCUUCCCAUUUGUUUGCAAGAACUGCUCGGAUUUUAUAGGCAGCUGUAUCCAAAUAAGGUACUGAAACAAGAGGGCUCAGAAGUUGACAUAAAUUACAUCAGCCAGACCUGGCUUCAGUUUAGCUACUGGACCUGACAGUCUUAUGGCUCUCUGCCUUUCUCUCUCUGCAAGUUUGGUAUAAGAAAGCUUUUUCCCCUUUCUGCUGCUCAGCACCUCAGUGUCACAGCCUGGCUCAAUAGUCUGUAACAGAUGGCUAGUUUUAAAAUCAGAUUCAUCAUUUUUCAUUCCUCAUUACACAGGCAUUGCUUAUGCAAAGCAUUAACCUUCAUAAUUGCCACUUACUUUGGGUAUCAGAUACAGGGGUUUGUGGGCUCUUGGGCACCAGGGUGCCAGUGGCCCACCUUCCUCUCCAUCACAGAGACCCCUCCCCGCAUGGAACCUUUCCUCUGUCAUGGUUUGGGGCAGCUGAUGGUGCUUUUGCUUUUGUUCCUACACUGGGGUGGCGAACCUUAGGCCCAUGGGCAGAAGGUGGCUCUCCAGGCCUCUCAAUUUGACCCACAAGACUCUCCCUUGGUCAUGCACUCUCCCCACUCCACAGCCCCCACUGACCCUCCUGCUCUGGGCCCUCCUCAAGUGCUUAUGCUU